UACAGAGACUGCGAGCGUUAUUCGGAUUCACUGGGCGUAAAGGGUGCGCAGGCGGCCGAGCGUGUGAGGCGUGAAAGCCCGGGGCUUAACCCCGGAAUUGCACCUCAAACUACACGGCUAGAGCAUUGGAGAGGGUAGCAGAAUUCAUGGUGUAGCAGUGAAAUGCGUAGAUAUCAUGAGGAAUACCAGAGGCGAAGGCGGCUACCUGGACAAUUGCUGACGCUCAGGCACGAAAGCGUGGGGAGCAAAAGGG
This 253-nucleotide ribosomal RNA is filed under the name uncultured bacterium. RNAcentral's name for it is "partial 16S ribosomal RNA". It matches the Rfam family "Bacterial small subunit ribosomal RNA", at positions 524 to 776 of the family's 1533-position model. The record is from RNAcentral.